CAGUAGCCGCGGUAAUACGGAGGAUCCAAGCGUUAUCCGGAAUCAUUGGGUUUAAAGGGUCCGUAGGCGGUCUUGUAAGUCAGUGGUGAAAGCCCAUCGCUCAACGGUGGAACGGCCAUUGAUACUGCAGGACUUGAAUUAUUGGGAAGUAACUAGAAUAUGUAGUGUAGCGGUGAAAUGCUUAGAGAUUACAUGGAAUACCAAUUGCGAAGGCAGGUUACUACCAAUUGAUUGACGCUGAUGGACGAAAGCGUGGGUAGCGAACAGGAUUAGAUACCCGCGUAGUCCCUGUCUCUUAUAU
This 301-nucleotide ribosomal RNA is filed under the name uncultured bacterium. RNAcentral describes it as "partial 16S ribosomal RNA". It matches the Rfam family "Bacterial small subunit ribosomal RNA", at positions 509 to 809 of the family's 1533-position model. The record is from RNAcentral.